UGGGGAAUUUUGGACAAUGGGCGCAAGCCUGAUCCAGCCAUGCCGCGUGCAGGAUGAAGGCCCUCGGGUUGUAAACUGCUUUUGUACGGAACGAAAAGCCUCUUUCUAAUAAAGAGGGGUGACGACGGUACCGUAAGAAUAAGCACCGGCUAACUACGUGCCAGCAGCCGCGGUAAUACGUAGGGUGCGAGCGUUAAUCGGAAUUACUGGGCGUAAAGCGUGCGCAGGCGGUCUUGCAAGACAGUGGUGAAAUCCCCGGGCUCAACCUGGGAACUGCCAUUGUGACUGCAAGGCUGGAGUACGGCAGAGGGGGAUGGAAUUCCGCGUGUAGCAGUGAAAUGCGUAGAUAUGCGGAGGAACACCGAUGGCGAAGGCAGUCCCCUGGGCCUGUACUGACGCUCAUGCACGAAAGCGUGGGGAGCAAACA
Molecule: ribosomal RNA, 427 nt
Filed under: uncultured bacterium
Lineage: Bacteria
Description: bacterial SSU rRNA
Rfam family: Bacterial small subunit ribosomal RNA
Source: RNAcentral